GACGAACGCUGGCGGCGUGCUUAACACAUGCAAGUCGAGCGGUAAGGCCCUUUCGGGGGUACACGAGCGGCGAACGGGUGAGUAACACGUGGGUGACCUGCCCUCAGCUCUGGGAUAAGCCUGGGAAACCGGGUCUAAUACCGGAUAUGACUCCAUGACGCAUGUUGUGGGGUGGAAAGCCUUGUGCGGCUGAGGAUGGGCCCGCGGCCUAUCAGCUUGUUGGUGGGGUGAUGGCCUACCAAGGCGACGACGGGUAGCCGGCCUGAGAGGGCGACCGGCCACACUGGGACUGAGACACGGCCCAGACUCCGUACGGGAGGCAGCGAGUGGGGAAUCUUGCGCAAGUGGGCGAAAGCCUGACGCAGCGACGCCGCGUGAGGGAUGACGGCCUGGU
Molecule: ribosomal RNA, 394 nt
Filed under: uncultured bacterium
Lineage: Bacteria
Description: bacterial SSU rRNA
Rfam family: Bacterial small subunit ribosomal RNA
Source: RNAcentral